This is an RNA transcript of Scylla paramamosain (green mud crab), 7599 nucleotides long. RefSeq lists it as uncharacterized. The transcript is spliced from 6 exons. The record is from RefSeq and is a predicted model, not a curated record. NCBI's taxonomy places the organism in Eukaryota, Metazoa, Arthropoda, Malacostraca, Decapoda, Portunidae.
UGUGAUAGGCUCACUGGCAGGCAGGUUCCAUUUCCAGCGGUGUAGCGGCGGCUGCGGGUGAACUGCUUGUGUUUUUUUUUGUGUACGCGUUUGUGAGUGCAGUUUGCGUGUGUGUCAAUUGUGGCAGUCCUCAGCACCACAGCGGAAGGCGGCGGGGGCGGGAGUGGCCCGGGGAGAGGCUCUGCAGGUGGACAGCACGAGUGUUUCACAGCGAGGAGAAAAGUGUGUGCACCUGAGGCGGUCCGUGUUCCGGCCUGGCGGGUAUGCUCCCCCUACCUGUGGAAACUCUCCCGAGCAAGACUGUGUUUGGGGAGGAAGAUUGUGGGUCGAGUGACGAGAGUAUGAGAAGAGUGGUUAAAGAUCUUGGAAUGGUGAGGUGGAACAGACAGUGAGAUAAAGCAGCGCCACCGCCCCUCUCGCGCCGAUGUGACUGACCCUCUGAUUUUUUCUCAACAUCUCAGUAAUGACGGAUCCUGGAUAUCAACUGAAGCAAGGCAGCGCUCAUCAACUUCAGGACCUGAGUCUCCCUCGCGUGGCAAAGAGUCAUAAUCCUGUUGGUCGCCAGUGCCGUGCUCGCCUCAAUAACCAUUCCGUGUGUCAGGGAGGCAUCUGUCAUUGGAACACCACCCAUCGCCUCUCCAUCCUGAACCUUUAACACCUGUGACCAGAAAAUGGCAGCCACCUGUUCUCAUCAGUGUCGGCAGGUGUCGCAUCCAUCACUCCCACCUGCCGUUGAUUGAGGCUCACCUGUCUCACCUGCGUCACCUGCCUCACCUCUCCUCUCAUUUGGGAUUUCUUAAUUUCCCACCUGUGUCCCUUUGUCUCCAUAUUGGUGUAGGUCACUUAGUCUCUCUCUCUCUCUCUCUCUCUCUCUCUCUCUCUCUCUCUCUCUCUCUCUCUCUCUCUCUCUCUCUCUCUCUCUCUCUCUCUCUCUCUCUCUCUCUCUCUCUCUCUCUCUCUCUUUCUCUGUCGUGUACCCAAGAAGACAGGUGAAAAAUGGCGGCUGACUCCACUCUCUAUUAACAAAGAGGAGAUUGUGUUGUCCCUCCCUUCCUCUCCCUGCACCUGAGGAGGAGGGGGAAGAGGAGGAGGAGGUAGGAAAAAGAGGUGAGGGAAAGAGUGCCUUAGCUCACUUCAGCCUACUGUUUUCCCUCCUCUUUUUCCCUCUUUAUUUUAAUCAGGUAUCUAAUUCACCAUUCUUCCUUGUUUGUUCCCUCUCUUCCCUUCUCCUCGGACCUUCCCCUCCACGCCCACACUCUUGUUCUUGCCUGUCUCGCCUCUUUUCCCAUCCUCUCCUACGUCAUCAUUAGUUUUCAUUUGCCUUGCAUUACUUCUCUUCUUGUUCUCGCCCCCGCCUGGUCUCUUAUCUUGCUCAUGUCCCCUCUCGGUGCCUCUUGCUGUCUCUCGCCUUUCAUCCAUGCAUUUUUAUAGUCAUGCAUUCCGCGGGUGAUUUGUAGAGAGAGCUUAGUUAAUUCGCAUUGUUAUUGUUCCUGCGUCGACUGAUCCGCUCUGUGUUUAGUUUAUCAGUAAGGAAGGUUUCAUAGACAGUAUCUUAAGGAGAAUCAAGAAGAAUAGCAACACGCCUCAGCUCAACAGAAACACGGCAGCAGAACUCGAGGCAUCGCUGUUUCGGCGUAUACUCGUGCUGGCGCUGGGCUUGUCUAGGUACGCUUGUGUCUCCCGAGUUAAUGCAUAUGUUAUCUUUGCCAUUACUCUUGUUGUCAGGCUUCGGUCGCCUUUCCAUUGCUGGUCUUUUUGUUAUAUGUUUCAUAAUGGUACUGCGAGUAACGCCAUCAGGGCCUUUGUGGGUCUGUGGUGAGGCUUAAAAGACCAUUUCAGCACACGGCAGUGGGUUUUUAUUUCUACAGCUUAUGCGUAUUCAGGGUUUCAUAAAAAGAUGCAUUUGGCUUGAGACAUUAUUCCUGCAUCUAGUCAGUAUUUUCAAGGACAUAAAAAGGGAGGAAAAGUGUAAAUUUUCAUCGCUUCAGGAAAAAAAAUUGUACUUGUAUGACUUAUUAAUUCCAGAUUGUAAUGGUUAGCGGAACCUUGAUAGUGUUAUAGUAAUUAGCAGGCGUUUUGAAAAUGUGUAUCAGGAUUAGGGCUCAUAUGCUGGAGUGUGUGGCGGGUGUGUGCCUCACGUGUUGCAGCGACACACCACAACCUCUGCAGCAACUAUCCCGGCGCCUCUACUGGUGAGCGGUGUUAGCUAAAGAAAACUCUUCCCGUCCACUAACAGUCAGGAAAGAACAAUUAUUCUUUUGAGUUUUGGAGUGAGUGCUACACGUUUCUACACGUUAAGGAUCUUCAGGGAAUUGGAUACGGUCAGCCAUUUCUUGCUUUGAUAUUAUCUCUUUGUGGCUUCAUCUCAUCCACUUGGGUCCGUCAUGGUCGUUCCAAAAGCGGUCACAACGUACUCUACCAAGGGUAAUACUCGUGCCUUGCUUGCUUAACUACAGGUCCAUUCCCCACAUGGGUCUGGAUGAGUACAGCGCAGAGUAACGCCGCGCAACGUGAGUGAUAAGCUGAGUGACGCACUUACGCGGCACCCCGAGUGAUGCUUGGCCUCCUGUUUGACCACAUUUGGCAGACGCCGAUGGAAGUAUUCGGAUUUUAAGGGAAUUUUCGUUACAAUAGUGAUUAACAAGAUUUCUGUGCCGCUAGUAGGGAAAAUAUCCUUGAGAAAGCGACUGGUAAUCCCUGAGGUCUUUUGAAGGAGACCCAAUAAGAGCACACACAAACACACAAACGCUUCAUUUUUCUUCUUAGAGUUUUUUUUUUUUUUUCAAAUGACUCCUCGUUUUCCUUACAUCGUACAGCGUUUAUACCUCUUUCAUAAAUCUCUCCAUCUCCUGCUGCCGUCGCGCGCCCUUAUAUUACUUUGCCAAUUACUGUAGGAUCUCACACUCGCAGGGACACACGUGACCUUCAGAGCGAUCCCUCUUCUCCCUCACUGAACCGUCUUUUGUGCUGGAGUUUGCUGUGCCUCGCUGUGAUCACACUCCACAGUUCCCGGUAACCAAAAAGACAAAAAUACCCGGCGCCAAUAUCGUAUGACUGUCAAGGGCGCCAUUUAGAAAGCCCUACGCCUCGGAUCUCAUAAAAAUUCCUCGAAAAUUAUUUUAAUCCUGCAGCUUACAGCGGGGCGAUAAAUUUGAGAGCCUUGAAAAGACUUGCAAGGCGCGAUGUUGGAUGACGUACCGGUGCAGCGGCUCAGAAUGAAGGCCGCUUUACAAAUGGAUUCUUUACGUAACAUAUUGAUAUUGCUCUGCAUCACUCAGUCCGCUUUGAGAACCUGCAGCGCGCGGAGUCCUUGAUCAGGCAUCGAGUAAUUUUACGAAGGGAUAAAUUUUGAUAACGAAACGUAUUAGCAACUGAAACACAUUAAAACAGCUGCUCGGCGCCGCUUGAGAGAGGGAACGCUUUCAAAUCUCAUCAUGUAAUGUGUGUGUGUGUGUGUGUGUGUGUGUGUGUGUGUGUGUGUGGUCUUGUAAUUUCUAAAAAGUUAUCAUCUAUUUGACACGUUCGGUCGUUUUCUCUCAUGCAUGGUGGUGUAACAUUUCAAACUAAUCAAAUACUUUACUUGUAACUGUCACACUGGCCUGAGGGUGAUACUUGUGGGAGGCGAACACUUGUAGCGAGACACAGUGAGGCCACACCAGGCAGAGAGGGUCACUGGCCUGGAGAAGCUGCGUCCAUUCAACCCCCAAAGGUGACCUGAGUACACCCGACACUUGGAGGCUGCGGCGCGACACCUCAGACCAUUUAUCUUGUCCGUGUCCACCGAGGCUCGUAUUCAGAAACGCUUUACUCUCUCCCAGCGACUAUCUUCAAAGGCCACAGAGAUGAUUGGCCGGUUUCUCACAUGUGUUUAUCCUGGUAAUAAUGUAGAAAACGUGUUAAUCUGUCAAUAGAAUCUUAAAACCCUCUUAAAAACCUUGUAUCUUUAACUAGAUCCCUCUGAAUUUAGGGGAAGUGCGGCGCUUGAAUAUGGUUUCUACACACACACACACACACACACACACCCACCCACCCACACACCUUGCCCUGCCCCCGCUCACCACCUGCCGCUCACCAAAUGUUUCUUUGAUCGUGAAAUCCACCCUACCAGUCAUAAUUACCCCUGGAAAGUAAUCAUAAAAUCCGUUUGAAUGUCAUGUCAUAAAGUGAUGUAUCCUCUUUGCACUAAUGACGUGAACGAAAUUAAAGUGAAUCGUCGCACACACGGAGGACUUUCGCUAGCCGGUGAACGGGGCGAGCUGGGUGUCAUCAGGUGGAGGUGGAUGGGUGGAUGGGUGGAUGGAUGGUAGUGGUGGACUCUUUUAGUCGUCGAUAUUGGGUUACGAUCCUCGGAUGGCGUUUGGGUUUCUAAUAAUUGUAAUUGUCCUCCUAUUGUGUCACCUUCACCUGGAGUAACAUUUACCGACCUGUGAGGAAAAAAUCACACACACACACACACACACACACACACACACACACACACACACACACACACACACACACACACACACCAGCUACAGUUUCGCCAUCUUGUAAUCUCUGCACAUGUGAUUCAUUAUUCUGGUAUUAAUGUCACUGAUACCAGCGAUGUUAAGGUGAAAAAUGACCCCGCACCAGAGACAGGCUUGGCUUGGCUGGGUGGACGAGGCUGUGUGGGAGUGGCUGGUGAGCUGCCCUAGUUGUGCGUGGUGGGCGGCGAUAUUCCUGGCUGGAGGGGGACCUGUGCUGCAUAACGCUGAAGCUGCUCUGUGUCUUCCUUCCUCCCGACCUUUGCUUACGGGACACAAAGGAGCAUAAAGGAAGACCAAGCGACAGCAGACCUAUUGGCUCUUAUGAUAUUCUCAGUUAGAGAUUACACAAUGUCCCUGGGGUCACAUAUGUACACGCUGAUGUUGCCUCCUCUCUAUAUUUCAUGUAGGGAGACAAAAGGUAAUGGGUGCACGUAAUACUCGCCACUCUGUUAAUCAAGUUGGCUGCUCAGGUGGAACAAAGGUAAACUAAUUAUCUUUAUGACCUUUAAAUCCUGACGUUUCUGCUUGUUUGUUUGUUUGUUUAUUUUUUAUUUUGUUGUUUUGUUUAAAGCGUUAUCAUAUCAUGGAAUACUCUUGACGCCCACUCCUCUUUGCGUCACACACACACACACACACACACACACACACACACACACACACACACACACACACACACACACACACACACACACACACACACACACACACACCUGCUGAUGCCUUCCACACACAAACUUGUUAAUGGUAGCUUUACAUACCUCCUACAUAAAAAAAAAGCAAUACUAGUAAGAUAUAAAAAAGAAUAAUGCAGUCUACAUCUCGGGAACUCAAUGCUUAUAGAAAAUUUUCCUUCCCUACAACUUAAGCUACAUCAAGAGAGAAAUAUUAGGGCACCUGUUCAACUAAAUUUCAACUAAAAUGGCCUUUCCGUUCAGAUUUUAUAGUAUUUUGUACUGUUUUCCUUCGGAGCGAUAAUUCCGCGGUCUUUUCCUCCUUUACCACAUUUUCUGUUCAUAUGGAAAGUUUUCAUAACACGCAAGAAGAAAAUCAAAGAAAACUGCAAACAUUCCGUAAAUCGCCGUCACCUCGACCCUUGGCAAUCGUGGUUAAUAGAAUGCUCCCGUCUGAGUUGCGAAGUAGCGGUGAUGGGGUCAGAUGGUGGAGCUUCGCGUUGAUAUACAGCAUCACAUUCACAUAUAUAUAGCAUCAAAUUCUUGUAUGCAUGACCAGUUUGCUUCUUAAUGGGUGAAAGCUGAAGACAGAACCCAGGACUGCAUGUCGCUCCGGGAAUUAAAUGUUUCAACGGAGAAAGAAGACCAAGUUUAUUUUUCUGCAUAUAAUGAGUGAGCUUGGAUAUUUUUCACUCUUUUUCACUUGUUGAGCACGGCCAGUAUGUGUGUGUGUGUGUGUGUGUGUGUGUGUGUGUGUGGUGCGGGCGGGGGUGGGAGUGUGGGAGGGAGACGUGGGAGGUGCCGGAUGUAGUUGCAUGGUCACUAUAAAUUACAGCGAGGUUUUCAAGAGGCUUUCUCUUUCCAACCUUCGCUGUAAUGUCCGGGAGGGCUUAUCUCUCUCUCUCUCUCUCUCUCUCUCUCUCUCUCUCUCUCUCUCUCUCUCUCUCUCUCUCUCUCUCUCUCUCUCUCUCUCUCUCUCUCUCUCUCUCUCUCUCUCUCUCUCUCUCUCUCUCUCUCUCUCUCUCUCUCUAAUGGGAUAUACAUCAGGGAUUAAUUACUUUAACACUUUCGUUAUAAAUGAUGGACAACAUUUUUUUUUUAGUUUUAAUUUUCAUUUAAGUAUAUUUGUAGGUACAGAAACAAAUGGCGCUACCUUCUUUCUGUGUCUUGUUCUUUUGCGCCACUUAAUGGUCCCUUUUUUCUUUCUCUCCCACUCUCUCUUUCUUUCCUCUCACUCCGGGGUCUUGUCGUUCCCUGAUGCUACUUUCUGUUGCAGGUGAAGUGUUGCCACACACGCAACAACACCUCAGGGAACGUUGCACACAAUGUUACCAGCACGCACACACACACACACACACACACACACACACACACACACACACACACACACACACACACACACACACACACACACACACACACACACACACACACACACACACACCAAAAAAAAUGAGAGAAAGAAAAAAAAACUGUCUCGCUCUUGUCAUUUCUUUCAGCGUAUUAACUCCUCUGCUUUAAUCUUCUUCUUGUACGUGUUUAGACCCCUCCCCACAAAAAAAAAAAAAAAAAAAAUCAACGGUGCACUGGUAGCUGGAGUGUGAUUGGAUUAUCUCUUAAUUGUGUGCUUCCUUUAAUCAUCCUCAGAACAUUAUCAGAAUUUUCUAUCCUCAUUUCCCUCUGCCUGUCAUUUUCCAGGAUGCCAUUUUACUGGAUCUGUUUUUUUUUUUCUUUUUUUUUUUUGUUAAUUAGACUAAACAACCUUAAAAGAACUAGGAAGAGUUUGAGACUUAGGACGAGGAGGAGGGAGAGGGCAAAUAAAGUCUUGGAUGAGGAAAGUUAUCUUGUACGAAGUGAUUGAAUUGAGUUAGAGGCCGCCAUGGACAGGCCUGCAGAAAGUUUAGGUGUGUAAUCUUAAUUUGGGUAAUUAAUGUACAAUUUUGGUGUCCAUUCUUUCACUUUGGUCUUUAGUAUUUUUAUUUAUUUAUUUAUUUAUUUAUUUAUUUAUUUAUUUAUUGCUAUUUAUGUAAUCUGGAUUCUCUAAUUUCUUAAAAAUCCUGUCUUUAAUUUUUCGCAGAGAUUAAUUUUCUACGUGUUUUCGUGCUUAGAUCUUCCUCGUAGUUCAGUUCACGUCCCUUGCAUUUUAUUUUCAAUUAUUCAAUUUAAGAACUUGCCGAUAAGUGUGCAUUUUUUUUCUUUGUGACUUUUCUGUGAGUUUCUUCAAUUCUGUUUUUCAUUUCUUUUUUCAGAAUUUUAUUCAGAACUAACACACACACACACACACACACACACACACACACACACACACACACACACACACACACACACACACACACACACACACACACGUCUUCAUAUCGCUUUUUUAUGUUCCUUUUUUUUAACAAAAUAAAUGAAAUGUGGAAUUUUUGGUAAUGCAA